RNAcentral lists this long non-coding RNA (221 nucleotides) under Sorghum bicolor (sorghum). Its description in RNAcentral is "long non-coding RNA (SBIC_LNC000304)". The record is from RNAcentral. Lineage: Eukaryota; Viridiplantae; Streptophyta; Magnoliopsida; Poales; Poaceae.
UUUCCUUUUUCGCCCAAAAGCCCACUCCUCUCUCCCUCUCGGCCUACUCCUCUUUCUCCCUCGUGCAGCCCAGCUGGAAGUGAGCUUUCCCUUCCCUCUCGGCCUUGGCCCAAGCCAGCCCAGCAAGGGAGCUUGCCUACCCACACGCACGUCCUCCUUCCCUUUUUCUUGGGCCAGAGCCAGCACUUUCACUCAGGCCGGCCCAACAGCACACAGAGGAU